UCUUAGUGGCGGACGGGUGAGUAACGCGUGAGUAACCUGCCUUUCGGAGGGGGACAACAGCUGGAAACGGCUGCUAAUACCGCAUAAUGUAUAUUGGUGGCAUCAUCGAUAUACCAAAGAUUUAUCGCCGAAAGAUGGACUCGCGUCUGAUUAGCUAGUUGGUAGGGUAAUGGCCUACCAAGGCUUCGAUCAGUAGCCGGACUGAGAGGUUGAACGGCCACAUUGGGACUGAGAUACGGCCCAGACUCCUACGGGAGGCAGCAGUGGGGAAUAUUGGGCAAUGGGCGAAAGCCUGACCCAGCAACGCCGCGUGAAGGAAGAAGGCUUUCGGGUUGUAAACUUCUUUGACCAGGGACGAAAAAAAUGACGGUACCUGGAAAACAAGCCACGGCUAACUACGUGCCAGCAGCCGCGGUAAUACGUAGGUGGCAAGCGUUAUCCGGAUUUACUGGGUGUAAAGGGCGCGUAGGCGGGAUUGCAAGUCAGAUGUGAAAUGCGGGGGCUUAACCUCCGAACUGCAUUUGAAACUGUGAUUCUUGAGUAUCGGAGAGGCAGGCGGAAUUCCUAGUGUAGCGGUGAAAUGCGUAGAUAUUAGGAGGAACACCAGUGGCGAAGGCGGCCUGCUGGACGACAACUGACGCUGAGGCGCGAAAGCGUGGGGAGCAAACAGGAUUAGAUACCCUGGUAGUCCACGCUGUAAACGAUGAAUACUAGGUGUGGGGGGACUAACCCCCUCCGUGCCGGAGUUAACACAAUAAGUAUUCCACCUGGGGAGUACGGCCGCAAGGUUG
This 791-nucleotide ribosomal RNA is filed under the name uncultured bacterium. RNAcentral's name for it is "bacterial SSU rRNA". It matches the Rfam family "Bacterial small subunit ribosomal RNA", at positions 90 to 896 of the family's 1533-position model. The record is from RNAcentral.